GGCGUUGUGGCGGAGUGGUUAACGCGAUAGACUCGAAAUCUAUUUCCUUCGGGAGCGUCUGUUCGAAUCAGGCCAACGUCG
Molecule: non-coding RNA, 81 nt
Organism: Colletotrichum higginsianum
Lineage: Eukaryota; Fungi; Ascomycota; Sordariomycetes; Glomerellales; Glomerellaceae
Source: Rfam